Molecule: ribosomal RNA, 235 nt
Filed under: Cohnella sp. AR92
Lineage: Bacteria; Bacillati; Bacillota; Bacilli; Caryophanales; Paenibacillaceae
Description: Bacterial small subunit ribosomal RNA
Rfam family: Bacterial small subunit ribosomal RNA
Source: Rfam by way of RNAcentral
UUUAUGGAGAGUUUGAUCCUGGCUCAGGACGAACGCUGGCGGCGUGCCUAAUACAUGCAAGUCGAGCGGAUCUUCUUGAGUAGCUUGCUACUCAAGAAGGUUAGCGGCGGACGGGUGAGUAACACGUAGGCAACCUGCCCAUAAGACCGGGAUAACAUUCGGAAACGAAUGCUAAGACCGGAUACGCAGGACUGGGGCAUCCCGGUUCUGGGAAACACGGUGCAAGCUGUGGCUU